AAAUUGAAGAGUUUGAUCAUGGCUCAGAUUGAACGCUGGCGGCAGGCCUAACACAUGCAAGUCGAACGGUAACAGGAAGCAGCUUGCUGCUUUGCUGACGAGUGGCGGACGGGUGAGUAAUGUCUGGGAAACUGCCUGAUGGAGGGGGAUAACUACUGGAAACGGUGGCUAAUACCGCAUAACGUCGCAAGACCAAAGAGGGGGACCUUCGGGCCUCUUGCCAUCAGAUGUGCCCAGAUGGGAUUAGCUUGUUGGUGAGGUAACGGCUCACCAAGGCGACGAUCCCUAGCUGGUCUGAGAGGAUGACCAGCCACACUGGAACUGAGACA
This 329-nucleotide ribosomal RNA is filed under the name Salmonella enterica. RNAcentral's name for it is "bacterial SSU rRNA". It matches the Rfam family "Bacterial small subunit ribosomal RNA", at positions 1 to 326 of the family's 1533-position model. Lineage: Bacteria; Pseudomonadati; Pseudomonadota; Gammaproteobacteria; Enterobacterales; Enterobacteriaceae. The record is from RNAcentral.